GCGAGCGGCGGAUGGGUGAGUAACACGUGGGGAACCUGCCCCUAAGUCUGGGAUACCAUUUGGAAACAGGUGCUAAUACCGGAUAAUAAAGCAGAUCGCAUGAUCAGCUUUUGAAAGGCGGCGUAAGCUGUCGCUAAGGGAUGGCCCCGCGGUGCAUUAGCUAGUUGGUAAGGUAACGGCUUACCAAGGCGACGAUGCAUAGCCGAGUUGAGAGACUGAUCGGCCACAUUGGGACUGAGACACGGCCCAAACUCCUACGGGAGGCAGCAGUAGGGAAUCUUCCACAAUGGACGCAAGUCUGAUGGAGCAACGCCGCGUGAGUGAAGAAGGUUUUCGGAUCGUAAAGCUCUGUUGUUGGUGAAGAAGGAUAGAGGUAGUAACUGGCCUUUAUUUGACGGUAAUCAACCAGAAAGUCACGGCUAACUACGUGCCAGCAGCCGCGGUAAUACGUAGGUGGCAAGCGUUGUCCGGAUUUAUUGGGCGUAAAGCGAGCGCAGGCGGAAAAAUAAGUCUAAUGUGAAAGCCCUCGGCUUAACCGAGGAACUGCAUCGGAAACUGUUUUUCUUGAGUGCAGAAGAGGAGAGUGGAACUCCAUGUGUAGCGGUGGAAUGCGUAGAUAUAUGGAAGAACACCAGUGGCGAAGGCGGCUCUCUGGUCUGCAACUGACGCUGAGGCUCGAAAGCAUGGGUAGCGAACAGGAUUAGAUACCCUGGUAGUCCAUGCCGUAAACGAUGAGUGCUAAAGUGUUGGGAGGUUUUCCGCCUCUCAGUGCUGCAGCUAACGCAUUUAAGCACUCCGCCUGGGGAGUACGACCGCAAGGUUUGAAACUCAAAGGAAUU
Molecule: ribosomal RNA, 839 nt
Filed under: uncultured bacterium
Lineage: Bacteria
Description: bacterial SSU rRNA
Rfam family: Bacterial small subunit ribosomal RNA
Source: RNAcentral